Pezoporus occidentalis (night parrot) is the source of this 1192-nucleotide long non-coding RNA. RefSeq lists it as uncharacterized. NCBI's taxonomy places the organism in Eukaryota, Metazoa, Chordata, Aves, Psittaciformes, Psittacidae. The transcript is spliced from 2 exons. The record is from RefSeq and is a predicted model, not a curated record.
UGCAAAGAUUUGACAAAUAUUUUACAGCAAUGUGUCUUUCCUGGUAGUUGCAAAGGAGACUUUAACAAAGGGUAAAGAAAGGCAUAUUUGGCUGUGACAGUCACCUUAAAUUUUCUUUUGCUGAUAUUAGCCUUCCAGAGUAGCUUCAGUUUGCAGAUCAAAAUCAUAAAAUUAACUCUUUCCUGUUUUCUUUAAACUAAGGAAUAGCUGUCUUUAUUUUUCAUCCUGAUGAGCCAUUGCAGGAGACAUUGUUUAGAGGCUCAAGGGAAGGUCCAGUGUGGCCUUAGCCAGAAAGCUGCAGUUAAACUACUUCUGUUAGUUCCAUGUGAUAUCAAGUUUAGUGCUAAAAAGACCACUUAUUAGUGGUACAAAAACUUAAGAUACUAAAAGGUACCUGAGAUACUAAAAGUUACCUAAGAUACUAAAAGGUGCCUAAGAUAUUAAACCAGAUUUCUAAGCCUUACUUGACGGUUUUCCAAUAUCAAGAAAUGUUGCUUUCUCGGGAUACUCUUGUUUCAAUGUAGACGCAAUUACCAAAGUCUUCACCUGAUGUGUCGGUGUUUAUGUGCAUUCAUUAUUUAUUUUUUUACUAUCCAGAAGCAUUGCAGGUCCCUGCCUAGUUACAAAACACUGUUUUGCAAUAUGCAAAGGAUGAAAAUAUGUUUUCCUUUUUCCCCCUUCCAGAAAUCCUGGGCAUAAAAAAAAGAAGCAAUUGAGAUGACUGAGGAAGGGAAAAGGUUGCCUUAUUAGCCAGGUUUUGAAAUUAAAUGAAGAGGAGGUAGAAAGGUGCAGCUUCUCUUGCUACUCUGUACUAGCCAACCACUUGGCUAGGAAAACGCUUAGCAACCUUUUUUCCCUAUGCUCUGUCUUUUCAGCACCAGGAAGCAAAAUAAGUUUAACCAUCAUAAGUAUUUGGAGUGUGACUCCUGUGCUUGAGAAAAGAAUAUCAAGAUGUUACCAGGGAAAUGGGAAAUAAAAAGAGGAACAGCUAUGUUGAAGUCUAUGAGGUUUUGUUAUUUCCUGUCCCUCGAUUCAUGCAUGGAGACUAUAAAAAGCAGCAUUUUGUACGUGACUAUUUGUAACAACCUGUUUGUUGUAUAGUAUGUUGCAAUGGUAUGGUGCAUGAGUAAGUCUAAAUGCAUUUCUUAGUAUGUCUUACAUGCUCAAUUUUGUCUCGUUUGCUUUUUUUCCC